GACGAACGCUGGCGGCGUGCUUAACACAUGCAAUUCGAACGAAGUGGCGAACGGGUGAGUAACGCGUAAUCAACCUGCCCUUCAGAGGGGUACAACAGUUGGAAACGACUGCUAAUACCGCAUACUCAAGGGGGGGCUUGCUUCUGAUUAGCUAGGUGGAGGGGUCACGGCCCACCAAGGCGAUGAUCAGUAGACGGUCUGGGAGGAUGAACGGCCACAGUGGGACUGAGACACGGCCCAGACUCCUACGGGAGGCAGCAGUUGGGAAUCUGCCGCAAUGGACGAAAGUCUGACGAAGCAACGCCGCUUGAGUGAUGACGGCCUUCGGGUUGUAAAGCUCUGUUAAUCGGGACGCAGUACCGGAAUAGAAAGCCACGGCUAACUACGUGCCAGCCUCCGCGGUAAUUC
RNAcentral lists this ribosomal RNA (408 nucleotides) under uncultured bacterium. RNAcentral's name for it is "partial 16S ribosomal RNA". It matches the Rfam family "Bacterial small subunit ribosomal RNA", at positions 28 to 526 of the family's 1533-position model. The record is from RNAcentral.